This 1496-nucleotide long non-coding RNA is filed under the name Sus scrofa (pig). RNAcentral's name for it is "lncRNA (ENSSSCG00070025459.1)". The record is from RNAcentral. Lineage: Eukaryota; Metazoa; Chordata; Mammalia; Artiodactyla; Suidae.
CAACAGCCUUAUGCAUUCCAUGUGACCAUCAUCCCCAUUGUACAGAUGGGGCAUCUGAGGCUUAGGCUAGUCAGAUAAGUUGGGUUACAGAUGGGCUCCUGUAGCCAAAAUGUAGGGGAGCUGGAAUUUGACUCUAUAGGCCAUAUUCUUUCAACCAAUUUAUUAUCAACAGUAUUCAGGCAUUUCUCUGAGGACAACAUUUGGUGAGGGUUGCUUGAUGACACAGUCAGUGAAAUACCGUAAUUGAUAAGAGGGAUAGAGGGGGCUAAAUGUUUCUUUUGUUGUCUUAUAAAUGACAUACCGUAUUUCCUUGGGUCUCUGCUUCUUCUAUUUGAUUAUGUUUAAGUCUUAAAACUAGUGGGUUCUCCUUGAAAGUGUGAUAAGAAAUUGGAGAAGGAAGUAACCCCACAGAAGAAAGUGAACCAUGACAGCCUAACAGUGUGGGAAUGAAAACACAUAGGUGUCCCUAGAGUCUAAUCGCUUUUGUUAUACUCCAGAGGGAAACUUUGAUACUAAGCAUCAAGAAUUCAGCCCUCCUCCUCAUUUCACAUAUUGGGCAUAUAAUUUGUGUGGGGAUUACAACCUGAAUCUUCUUAGGUACCUCUGGUUUCUGACACAGCAGCAGCCUUUGAAUCACUGAGUGUUUUUUUCCCUGCUGCUUAAUCUCUGGUGCAGCCAAUUUAUAGACGGGAAGAGUUUUUACUUUAUCUGUUCCAACCACACUCCCUCCCACUUUCUGCUUUUGUAGCAGGAAGAAGCUUCAACUUCUCUUGCUCGGUGCAGGUUUGCCGAUGUGUGUGAGCUGUUGUGUGUGUGCAUCUAGACAUUCCUGAAGAUGCUGGAAACAAUGGUGGAAAGUUGGGAGGGUGAGGACCUUUAUUGUGUAACAAACUGAAGGCACCAAGGAGUCUGCAUUUGUUACAGAGAGGAUGGAAGUGUUCUUCCCACACUACUCCUUGUUGGACAGUGGAGUGGAAAUCAUCUGCCAUCCAUGGAGACACCAGGAGUUUGGUGGUCUCCUGAGAGGUGUGCAUGCCAGUGUCUCCAGGCUGCAUUGCUCUCUGGCUGGGAGAGCCAGCGGAAGGUAGACUGGCAGACAUGGUGUCCAAGCCCCAUGCGCCUGUGGGUGGAAGCCAUCCUGAUUCUCUCUGAGAAUUUUUCUCCAGCCCAACCGAGUGAAGAACUUGCUUUUUUCAAUUUGGGAACAGUGGGUAUUUUCAAGUCACCAAUUUGUGUGAACCCAGAUUUACCACCACAUACUAUUAAAAUGACAGUGAAUGAACAGGGAGUGAGAAGUUCCAAGGCAACAAGGAGGAAAUAUAUGCUUUGUAGCUUUCCCUGCUCCUUAAGUCCUUAUUGGCCUCUGCUGAGAUACCUUCUCUCUCAGUGGCUGUGGUUAUCAGCUGUCUCCAAUGCAUCUCAGUUGAUGGAGCAAGUUGUUACUCCUGCCCAGUCCACCACCACUGCUGCUGGCUGCUGGACCACCCGCUAACCAG